AAAGCGGGAUGAGCUCAAGCUUAAAAUCUCCGUACAAGUUUUGUACGGCGAAUUGUAGUCUAUAGAGGCGUGGUCAGCGCGGGCGCUUGGGGCAAGUUCCUUGGAAGAGGACAGCAUGGAGGGUGAUACUCCCGUUUAUCCCUGAGUGGCUCGUGCGUACGACCCGUUUUCUUUGAGUCGCGUUGUUUGAGAAUGCAGCGCAAAGUAGGUGGUAAAUUCCAUCUAAAGCUAAAUAUUGGUGCGAGACCGAUAGCGAACAAGUACCGUGAGGGAAAGAUGAAAAGAACUUUGAAAAGAGAGUUAAAGAGUACCUGAAACUGCUGAAAGGGAACCGAAUCGUUUCCAGUGUCUAUAAUCCGUGGCAUAUUUCAUUGGCGAGUGUAUGCGUGCGUGUACCGUGGCAGCGGCGUUUUGCUGCGCUCGGUGCUUGUGCUGUAUAUACUUGCUGGUGCCCUGUGCUGCGGUGGGACGUCAACGUCAGUUCGUAUGCUGCGGGAAAUGGCUGCUGAGGAGGUAGGGCUUACGCUUGCGUUUGUCUGUUAUAUCUUGGUAGACGAGUCGUCGCGGUUGGGACUGAGGUGCCUACAACGUGCUUUUGAGUGGGUCUGCGUCUCCGUGUGUGCCGUGUGCGGAUAGCUUGCUAUGCGUGUGUGGUUAUGUAUGGAUUGAUGCGGGCUUUAAC
This 682-nucleotide ribosomal RNA is filed under the name Peronospora trifoliorum. RNAcentral's name for it is "LSU rRNA". It matches the Rfam family "Eukaryotic large subunit ribosomal RNA", at positions 95 to 628 of the family's 3401-position model. Lineage: Eukaryota; Oomycota; Peronosporomycetes; Peronosporales; Peronosporaceae. The record is from RNAcentral.